RNAcentral lists this ribosomal RNA (507 nucleotides) under uncultured Glomus. Its description in RNAcentral is "SSU rRNA". It matches the Rfam family "Eukaryotic small subunit ribosomal RNA", at positions 569 to 1078 of the family's 1831-position model. Lineage: Eukaryota; Fungi; Glomeromycota; Glomeromycetes; Glomerales; Glomeraceae. The record is from RNAcentral.
AGCAGCCGCGGUAAUUCCAGCUCCAAUAGCGUAUAUUAAAGUUGUUGCAGUUAAAAAGCUCGUAGUUGAAUUUCGGGGUUAGUAAGUUGGUCAUGCCAUUGGUAUGCACUGGCUUUACUGAUUCCUCCUUCUUGACGAACCGUGAUGUCAUUAAUUUGGUGUUGCGGGAAAUCAGGACUGUUACUUUGAAAAAAUUAGAGUGUUUAAAGCAGGCUUACGCUUGAAUACAUUAGCAUGGAAUAAUGAAAUAGGACGUUAAUCCUAUUUUGUUGGUUUCUAGGAUCGACGUAAUGAUUAAUAGGGAUAGUUGGGGGCAUUAGUAUUCAAUUGUCAGAGGUGAAAUUCUUGGAUUUAUUGAAGACUGACUACUGCGAAAGCAUUUGCCAAGGAUGUUUUCAUUAAUCAAGAACGAAAGUUAGGGGAUCGAAGACGAUCAGAUACCGUCGUAGUCUUAACCAUAAACUAUGCCGACUAGGGAUCGGAUGAUGUUAAUUUUUUAAUGACUCA